RNAcentral lists this ribosomal RNA (459 nucleotides) under uncultured Geobacter sp. Its description in RNAcentral is "bacterial SSU rRNA". It matches the Rfam family "Bacterial small subunit ribosomal RNA", at positions 341 to 792 of the family's 1533-position model. Lineage: Bacteria; Pseudomonadati; Thermodesulfobacteriota; Desulfuromonadia; Geobacterales; Geobacteraceae. The record is from RNAcentral.
ACGGAAGGCAGCAGUGGGGAAUUUUGCGCAAUGGGGGAAACCCUGACGCAGCAACGCCGCGUGAGUGAUGAAGGCUUUCGGGUCGUAAAGCUCUGUCAGAGGGGAAGAAAUGGAAACGGUUAAUACCCGUUUUCCUUGACGGUACCCUCAAAGGAAGCACCGGCUAACUCCGUGCCAGCAGCCGCGGUAAUACGGAGGGUGCAAGCGUUGUUCGGAUUUAUUGGGCGUAAAGCGCGUGUAGGCGGUUUCUUAAGUCUGAUGUGAAAGCCCUGGGCUCAACCCAGGAAGUGCAUUGGAUACUGGGAAACUUGAAUACGGGAGAGGGUAGUGGAAUUCCUAGUGUAGGAGUGAAAUCCGUAGAUAUUAGGAGGAACACCGGUGGCGAAGGCGGCUACCUGGACCGAUAUUGACGCUGAGACGCGAAAGCGUGGGGAGCAAACAGGAUUAGAUACCCUGGUA